This 433-nucleotide ribosomal RNA is filed under the name uncultured bacterium. RNAcentral describes it as "partial 16S ribosomal RNA". It matches the Rfam family "Bacterial small subunit ribosomal RNA", at positions 29 to 507 of the family's 1533-position model. The record is from RNAcentral.
AACGAACGCUGGCGGCAUGCCUAACACAUGCAAGUCGAACGAGACCUUCGGGUCUAGUGGCGCACGGGUGCGUAACGCGUGGGAACCUGCCCUUAGGUUCGGAAUAACUCCCCGAAAGGGGUGCUAAUACCAGAUAAUGUCUUCGGACCAAAGAUUUAUCGCCUUUGGAUGGGCCCGCGUUGGAUUAGCUAGUUGGUAGGGUAAAAGCCUACCAAGGCGACGAUCCAUAGCUGGUCUGAGAGGAUGAUCAGCCACACUGGGACUGAGACAUGGCCCAGACUCCUACGGGAGGCAGCAGUGGGGAAUAUUGGACAAUGGGCGAAAGCCUGAUCCAGCAAUGCCGCGUGAGUGAUGAAGGCCUUAGGGUUGUAAAGCUCUUUUACCCGGGAUGAUAAUGACAGUACCGGGAGAAUAAGCUCCGGCUAACUCCGUG